UUCCGUAGGUGAACCUGCGGAAGGAUCAUUACACAUAUUACGGGGGGUCGGAUCCCAAGGUACGUGUAACCCAUGUGCUUUGGACCUGCCCUGUCUGAAUAUUCUACCCAUGUCUUUUGCGUACUAUUUGUUUCCUUGGCAGGCUCGCCUGCCAAUAGGACAUUAUACAACCUCUUGUAAUUGCAAUCAGCGUCAGUUAAAAAUUUAAUAAUUAAAACUUUCAACAACGGAUCUCUUGGUUCUGGCAUCGAUGAAGAACGCAGCGAAAUGCGAUAAGUAGUGUGAAUUGCAGAAUUCAGUGAAUCAUCGAAUCUUUGAACGCACAUUGCGCCCCUUGGUAUUCCAUGGGGCAUGCCUGUUCGAGCGUCAUUUGUACCCUCAAGCUCUGCUUGGUGUUGGGCGUCUUGUCUCGCGUUGCGCGUAGACUCGCCUUAAAGCGAUUGGCAGCCGGCAUAUUGGCCUUGGAGCGCAGCACAUUUUGCGCUUCUAGUCAUGAAUGUUGGCGUCCAUUAAGCCUAUACAUUUGCUCUUGACCUCGGAUCAGGUAGGGAUACCCGCUGAAC
RNAcentral lists this ribosomal RNA (563 nucleotides) under Coniothyrium glycines. RNAcentral's name for it is "eukaryotic LSU rRNA". The stretch from base 216 to 369 matches the Rfam family "5.8S ribosomal RNA". Lineage: Eukaryota; Fungi; Ascomycota; Dothideomycetes; Pleosporales; Coniothyriaceae. The record is from RNAcentral.